Molecule: ribosomal RNA, 552 nt
Filed under: uncultured bacterium
Lineage: Bacteria
Description: partial 16S ribosomal RNA
Rfam family: Bacterial small subunit ribosomal RNA
Source: RNAcentral
UGGGGAAUAUUGCACAAUGGGCGCAAGCCUGAUGCAGCCAUGCCGCGUGUGUGAAGAAGGCCUUCGGGUUGUAAAGCACUUUCAGCGAGGAGGAAGGCGUUAAGGUUAAUAACCUUGGCGAUUGACGUUACUCGCAGAAGAAGCACCGGCUAACUCCGUGCCAGCAGCCGCGGUAAUACGGAGGGUGCAAGCGUUAAUCGGAAUUACUGGGCGUAAAGCGCACGCAGGCGGUUUGUUAAGUCAGAUGUGAAAUCCCCGAGCUUAACUUGGGAACUGCAUUUGAAACUGGCAAGCUAGAGUCUUGUAGAGGGGGGUAGAAUUCCAGGUGUAGCGGUGAAAUGCGUAGAGAUCUGGAGGAAUACCGGUGGCGAAGGCGGCCCCCUGGACAAAGACUGACGCUCAGGUGCGAAAGCGUGGGGCAGCAAACAGGAUUAGAUACCCUGGUAGUCCACGCUGUAAACGAUGUCGAUUUGGAGGUUGUGGGCUUGACCCGUGGCUUCCGGAGCUAACGCGUUAAAUCGACCGCCUGGGGAGUACGGCCGCAAGGUUAAA